CGGGCUUGGUGGCGUGUGCCUGUAGUCCCAGCUACUCAGGAGACUGAGACUGGAGGAUCUCUUGAGCCCAGGAGUUCUGGGCUGUAGUGCAUUAUGCCGACCUGGGGUCCACACUAAGUUUGGCAUCAAUAUGGUGACCUCCCGGGAGCAGGGGACCACCAGGUUGCCUAAGGAGUGGUGAACCAGCCCAGGUCGGAAACGGAGCAGGUCAAAACUCCCGUGCUGAUCAGUAGUGGGAUUGCGCCUGUGAAUAGCCACUGUACUCCAGCCUGGGCAACAUAGCGAGACCCCCGUCUCU
RNAcentral lists this signal recognition particle RNA (298 nucleotides) under Cebus imitator (Panamanian white-faced capuchin). Its description in RNAcentral is "Metazoan signal recognition particle RNA (ENSCCAG00000006696.1)". It matches the Rfam family "Metazoan signal recognition particle RNA". From Rfam's summary of the family: The signal recognition particle (SRP) is a universally conserved ribonucleoprotein. It is involved in the co-translational targeting of proteins to membranes. The eukaryotic SRP consists of a 300-nucleotide 7S RNA and six proteins: SRPs 72, 68, 54, 19, 14, and 9. The record is from Rfam by way of RNAcentral. Lineage: Eukaryota; Metazoa; Chordata; Mammalia; Primates; Cebidae.